AACGAACGCUGGCGGCAGGCUUAACACAUGCAAGUCGAACGCCCCGCAAGGGGAGUGGCAGACGGGUGAGUAACGCGUGGGAACAUACCCUUUUCUACGGAAUAGCUCUGGGAAACUGGAAUUAAUACCGUAUACGCCCUACGGGGGAAAGAUUUAUCAGGGAAGGAUUGGCCCGCGUUGGAUUAGCUAGUUGGUGGGGUAAAGGCCUACCAAGGCGACGAUCCAUAGCUGGUCUGAGAGGAUGAUCAGCCACAUUGGGACUGAGACACGGCCCAAACUCCUACGGGAGGCAGCAGUGGGGAAUAUUGGACAAUGGGCGCAAGCCUGAUCCAGCCAUGCCGCGUGAGUGAUGAAGGCCUUAGGGUUGUAAAGCUCUUUCACCGAUGAAGAUAAUGACGGUAGUCGGAGAAGAAGCCCCGGCUAACUUCGUG
Molecule: ribosomal RNA, 431 nt
Filed under: uncultured bacterium
Lineage: Bacteria
Description: partial 16S ribosomal RNA
Rfam family: Bacterial small subunit ribosomal RNA
Source: RNAcentral